UGGGACGUCGACCGGGUCGUGUAAGCAGUCGAGUAGCCUUGUUGUUACGAGCUGCUGAGCGUCAGCCCGCGUCGGCAGAUUUGU
This 84-nucleotide non-coding RNA is filed under the name Acidomyces richmondensis BFW. Its description in RNAcentral is "Eukaryotic large subunit ribosomal RNA". It matches the Rfam family "Eukaryotic large subunit ribosomal RNA", at positions 3317 to 3401 of the family's 3401-position model. Lineage: Eukaryota; Fungi; Ascomycota; Dothideomycetes; Mycosphaerellales; Teratosphaeriaceae. The record is from Rfam by way of RNAcentral.